Molecule: unclassified non-coding RNA, 3428 nt
Filed under: Hevea brasiliensis (rubber tree)
Lineage: Eukaryota; Viridiplantae; Streptophyta; Magnoliopsida; Malpighiales; Euphorbiaceae
Source: RNAcentral
UAACCUUUAAUUAGACGACAAUGAUGAUGUCCACUUGGUGAUUGAUUUUAUUAAUCUUAGAAAAGAAGCAUCUAUCUGGCAAGGAAAAAGGAAGGAAAGAUCCUGCCAUUGCCUCUCUGUUAUAAAAUGACACCCACAUGAACCCUAUUCUCAUUCAGACAAAGCUCAAUAUUUUCACACCAGACCCCUCUCCAAGGAUACCCAAAUAAAUUAACCCGAAAGAGAGCCUCUUAGCAUCUAUCCUAAAAAGAAACAAACAAGACAAGAAAGCGAAAAGCAUGGACUCCAUCAACUCCUUCAAGGGCUACGGUAAGGUAGAUGAGGUCGAACAGCAGGCCUUCCGGCGAAAGACCCGUAAGCGUCUUAUCAUUGUCAUUGUCUCCUCCGUCGUUCUUGUCGCUGUCAUCAUCGGUGCUGUUGUCGGAACUGUAUUACACAAAAGAAACAGUGGCUCCUCCCCUUCCUCCGCCGUCCCUACUGAGCUCACACCGGCCGCUUCACUCAAAGCUGUUUGCAGUGUCACUCAGUACCCUCCUUCUUGCGUCUCUAGCAUAUCUUCCCUUGAUUCAGCUAACACCAGUGAUCCAGAAGUUCUCUUUAAGCUUUCUUUACAUGUCGCCAUCACCGAACUCUCCAAACUCAAGGAUUACCCUUCUAAGCUUAUUGAAAGUACUAAUGAUACUAUGGUCAAGGAUGCUUUGCGGGUUUGUGAAUCCGUGUUUGAUGAUGCUGUGGAUCGGCUCAAUGACUCGAUUUCUUCCAUGGCGGUUGGAGAAGGUGAAAAGAUAUUAUCGACUUCCAAGAUUAAUGACAUGAAAACGUGGCUUAGUACUACCAUCACUGAUCAAGAAACAUGUUUAGAUGCUCUGCAAGAACUGAACAAUACAAAGCAUUUCAACAGUAAACUUCUUGAAGAAGUGAGGACAGCAAUGGAGAAUUCAACUGAGUUCGCAAGUAAUAGUUUGGCCAUUGCCACAAAAAUCAUAGGUUUGUUGACAGAUUUUAACAUCCCAAUUCACAGAAAAUUAUUGGGGUUCGAAGGAAGCAACUCAGGGUUUCCUGGUUGGGUUAGUUUGGGAGAUAGAAGGCUGCUCCAGGAGUCGAAGCCUACGCCAAAUGCUACAGUAGCCAAGGACGGCUCUGGGGAUUACACUACCAUCGGAGAUGCAGUGGCAGCAAUUCCAAAGAAGAGCCCAUAUAAAUUCAUCAUAUAUGUGAAGGAAGGAACAUAUAUAGAAAAUGUGAUUUUGGAAAAGAAGAAGUGGAAUGUGAUGAUAUAUGGGGAUGGAAAGGACAAGACUGUUAUCUCUGGAAGCAAGAACUUUGUGGAUGGGACUCCCACAUUCGCAACAGCUACUUUUGGUAAGUUCUUCUACUUCUCCUGCCAUUUCCGUGCAUUCUUGAAAGGAGAUUCUCUGUUUUCUUUAUAGUCCAGAAUUGAACUUGAGUCAUUACUUACAUUUUUCACAAAUUAUAUAGCUUAGAUGAAAUUUUGCCUGACAAAGUUUUAGAAUUUCGAUGAUAGAAGGUCCUAAACAUGAAUGGGUAGUUUGAGUUACUGUAUAAAAUUUCUGAAACUUGAAGAAGAUUAGGCAUCUGCUAAUGACAAGAUUAAGGAAAGUUAAGAAGGCACAUGGAAUAUGUCUAUGAGUUCCCAAUCCCAUGUGAAAUACUUUCCUGCAAAUCUGUUAUUCCCAAUAAAUGUUGCUCUGAAUAUAAUUAAAUGAGAUUGGAUGUUGGUACCCACCAGCCAUGUGCUUGUCUGUUCACUAAUUUACAACUAUCUUUUCUAGUGGUCCCAAUUGCUCCCAUAAUCCAAGUUAAGGUCUGCAAGACGAUACAGAUAGAUUAAGAUUAGUCAUUUGUCUAGGGUUGAUCGUAGGUGUUAAGGUUUUAAAUAGCCUUAAAUACCCUCUUGACCUAGUCUAUAAUAGAUGACAAACUACUCAUCUAAUAUGAUUAACUCUCUGCUUUUGGCGGGCGGUGAGUGUCACUUACUGAACAAGAGACUACUCGUUUAGGUAGACACUUCAAUUGAAGAUGAAUUAUUAGGUGCACUUAAUACAUAUAUAUUUUUUUUCACAGUUAUGUGAGAUUCACUUCUUAUAUAAUAGAAAGGAUCUACUUUCUGUGAGAAAAAUGACAUUAUUUUUUUAGUGCAUUGAGUGCACCUGAUAAUUAGCCUCAAUCGAAAGUAUGCUGGUUCAUGAACAUCUACUCUUAUAGGUAGGUCAUCUACUGUUUUAGAUAGGAAGGAUAGGGCAAGGCCUGUGAUGAUUCAUUUAACCUGGUUCAUGAGUUUAGUUUAGUUGUGUUAUAGAUUGCUCCCCUUAUGCCCAGGUGGCAGCACGAAGGAACUCAAUGCAGCGGGUUUUUUAUAAGUUAAACAUGGCAUCAAUUGCAUCAGAAGGAAUCAAAUUGUACUGUUAUUAAAAGAAGUUUCACUGACAGCCAGCACAUGUGAUGUGUUUGUAGCUUUUUGGGUCUCUGGUUUUGAUGGCCCGUAACACUUCCACUAGAGCAUGCAUCCCCCACUUUUUGUUUUGUGUUCUCGCCCAAUUCAGGGCCCCCCAAGUCCAAGAUUCAAAUCCCCUUAUUUAUUUGCUUUUGGUGUGUUUCUAAGUAUAUAAUAAUGAUGUGAUGUCCAGCUGUUGCCGGCAAGAACUUCAUAGCCAGAGAUAUAAAGUUCAUCAACACGGCAGGGGCAGCAAAGCACCAAGCAGUGGCCUUCAGGUCUGGCUCAGACAUGUCUGUUUACUACCAAUGUGCAUUUGAUGCUUUCCAGGACACACUCUAUGCUCACUCCAACCGGCAGUUCUACCGGAGCUGUGACAUUACUGGCACCAUUGACUUCAUCUUCGGCAACGCGGCUGUCGUUUUCCAGGAUUGCAACAUCAUGCCCAGGCAACCCUUACCAAACCAAUUCAACACCAUCACAGCUCAGGGCAAGAAAGACCCUAAUCAAAACACUGGCAUUUCAAUUCAGAAGUGCAGAUUUUCUGCUUAUGACACCAAUCUUAAAGCCCCUACAUACCUUGGGAGGCCUUGGAAAGAUUUUUCCACUACGGUUAUUAUGCAGUCUGAAAUUGGCUCAUUCUUAAAUCCAUUGGGCUGGAUGUCGUGGAUCAGUGGUGUGGAGCCGCCCAGUACAAUAUUCUACGGAGAGUACCUGAACUCAGGGGCUGGCUCUGCUGUGGAUCAAAGGGUUAAAUGGGUUGGUUACAGGCCCGCUCUCACAGAAGAUGAGGCAGGGAAAUUUACUGUAGGAUCAUUUAUCCAAGGCCCUGAGUGGCUGCCUGCAAGCACUGUGACAUUUGAUUCCACCCUUUGAUCUGAAAUUGGAUGAGAGGUGGGGUUUCAUCAAAUCAAUUGCCAUAUUAGGUCAAGUGAAGGAAACUAUAAACUCGCCAAGAAUUGUCUAGAAGAGA